GAUGAUAAGAUCUUUUUUCUAUUUGAUAUGAGAUAGAAGGAAAAACGAACUGGCAAAAAAAAAGACACUUAGAGAAUGAGAUUGGAUUUCUAUUCCUAUUUUAUGAAAGUUCUCAAGACUGGAAUUAUCUCAUAUCAGCUGCAAUAAGAGAGAUUAUAGAUAUGUGGCAUAUCAGCUGUUAUAGAGAUAGACAUUCCCGACAACU
Molecule: long non-coding RNA, 205 nt
Filed under: Phoenix dactylifera (date palm)
Lineage: Eukaryota; Viridiplantae; Streptophyta; Magnoliopsida; Arecales; Arecaceae
Description: long non-coding RNA (PDAC_LNC002890)
Source: RNAcentral